GCGCGAGUAGUGGAGCCUGGCCACCACGCGGCAUAGCGGGCCGAGCCGAGAGUUCGAAUCUCUCCUCGCGCA
This 72-nucleotide transfer RNA is filed under the name Halococcoides cellulosivorans. Its description in RNAcentral is "Haloarculaceae archaeon HArcel1 tRNA-Ala". Lineage: Archaea; Methanobacteriati; Methanobacteriota; Halobacteria; Halobacteriales; Haloarculaceae. The record is from RNAcentral.